UAAAUCCUGCUGAGGUAUAUACAACUCUACAAGCUGGUUCUCAAAUCCUUUUUUUGGAACGAGACUGAAGGAUUUCUGCAUAAAUAAUCAUAGUGGAAUUUUCAAGAUAUUUCAACGGUCUGUGGUGGCCAAAUAUGUGGAAUUGAGGCUGUUCCAGUAAAUCUGGAAUGAAUUGACACUCUAUCCACAGAGUAUGAAACUGUGUGUAGAGUAUGCAUGUGCGCGCGCGUGCACACACACACACAUACACACACACACACACACACAGGAAGAAUUCUUUUCUUGUCCAGACACUGGCAUUGGCAGUGAAACCAUCCAUUCCAAACCAAAGGAGCCCCCUCACCAAUGGCCUUGCCGCCCAGGAACCCUGCAGGGCAGAAGUUGGGGAGGGGAUAGCAGUCUGAAUAGCGGUCUUGGAUGGCUGGAAGCUGGCACCUGUGAACAAGCACCCAUGAUGGUGAUGCAUCCGGAACCAGGCUGCCCAGCCAACCAGUGCUUUCCCACCGGAGCUUUUGCUCUGGGCUCCUCUGCCGUUGAUUUCCCAGGUCCCGCCUUGCAUUUUCUCCCUCAUCUUCACAUGUGGGGAGCCCCUGACCGGCUGCUGAAGACCCCCAGACAAGCCUUCAGCUUCCAGAUCAUGGAAGGCAGCAUGGGGAGGCAGGAGACCCCUGGGAGGGCGGAGCAUGACUUUUGUCCAGGAGGCUGGACUACCGACUUCAGCAGGCUCUGGUUGGCUCUGGAGGACAUCCCUCAAGAAGUGCUGGCAGAUGUUAGAUUCCCGCCACCUGGAGGCCUGACCUCACCUGAGGGCAUCCCUGCCUGUCCAUGUCUUUUGACUGGGUGGGCAGCCCUGCCUACCUCUCUGCAGCUUCAAACACCAGCCGCUUCCACUCAGAGACACUCAAAAUGUGUCGAGGGAGGUUGUCCUCUGGACUCCUGGGAAUUGACCACCAGCAUGCGCUGCUCCGCUGACAAGGGAAAGGGCCCUCUGGCCCGCACAGCAUGGAUAUGGGCAGAACGGUUUUUCCUAACUAGGCCUUCUGGGUUGCAGCAGAACAGCAUGUGUCUGCUUCUCAAAUGUAACAGGACAAGAUGUUCAGGUCUUGUGUCCUCUGUGAAGCAGGGCUGCAAGGACCCCUUACCAAGGAGAAGAUUGUCUCUGGAAACUGCGAAAUCUGACCAGAAGGCCCUUAGCCUCCCAGGCUCUGUAGCUUCUGCAGUGAUGAGGCCUGGCCACCAGAUGGCUCCACAGAGGCCACUGCUCUCUCAGGGAAGAGGAGGCUGGGAAGAUCCAGGGGAGGACAUGGAAUUGGAUUCUCACCUGGGGAAGCUGUGGAGCCUGUGUGGUAUGGAUGCUUUUCUCCGCCGUGUCACCUGGGAUAACCAUUUACCCUCUCUGGAGAAACAGCUGGACUUCAGGACAGUGACAGCUCCUUCCAGGGCCAGGUGGAGGGUUCUGAGAUGCAGCCCGGAAUGGGGUGGCUUGGCAGAUGUGAAGUUGUGAGUGUUAUGGGCUUAACUGUGCUCAACACCCCCAUUCAUAUAUUGAAGUCCUAACCCCUAGUGCCUCAGAAUAUGACUGCAUUGGAGAUAGGGCCUCCUAAAAGGUAACUAGGGGGACCUCCCUGGUGGCCCAGUAGCUGACUCUGUGCUGCCAAUGCAGGUGCGGUUCCAUCCCUGGUCAGGAACCAGAUCCCGCAUGCCAUAACUAAAGAUCCCAAGUGCUACCACUAAGACCCACCACAACCAAAUUAAAAAAUAAGAAAUAUUUUUUCAAAAAAGUAACUAGGCUAAAAUAAGGCCAUGAGGGUGGGCCCUAAUGUGAUGUGACUGGUGUCCUUCUGAGAAGAGAUUCUGUAGGACAGAC
Bos grunniens (domestic yak) is the source of this 1867-nucleotide long non-coding RNA. Lineage: Eukaryota; Metazoa; Chordata; Mammalia; Artiodactyla; Bovidae. The record is from Ensembl.